UCCAGACUCCUACGGGAGGCAGCAGUGGGGAAUAUUGCACAAUGGGGGAAACCCUGGUGCAGCAACGCCGCGUGAGUGAAGAAGUAUUUCGGUAUGUAAAGCUCUAUCAGCAGGGAAGAAGAAAGACGGUACCUGACUAAGAAGCCCCGGCUAACUACGUGCCAGCAGCCGCGGUAAUACGUAGGGGGCAAGCGUUAUCCGGAUUUACUGGGUGUAAAGGGAGCGUAGACGGCUGUGCAAGUCUGAAGUGAAAGCCCGUGGCUCAACCGCGGAACUGCUUUGGAAACUGUAUAGCUUGAGUACUGGAGAGGCAGGCGGAAUUCCUAGUGUAGCGGUGAAAUGCGUAGAUAUUAGGAGGAACACCAGUGGCGAAGGCGGUCUGCUGGACAGCAACUGACGUUGAGGCUCGAAAGCGUGGGGAGCAAACAGGAUUAGAUACCCUAGUA
RNAcentral lists this ribosomal RNA (446 nucleotides) under uncultured bacterium. RNAcentral's name for it is "bacterial SSU rRNA". It matches the Rfam family "Bacterial small subunit ribosomal RNA", at positions 330 to 792 of the family's 1533-position model. The record is from RNAcentral.